Otolemur garnettii (small-eared galago) is the source of this 102-nucleotide microRNA precursor. The record is from Ensembl. NCBI's taxonomy places the organism in Eukaryota, Metazoa, Chordata, Mammalia, Primates, Galagidae.
GCUAGAGAAGGUAGAGGAGAUGGUACAGGGUUACAGGCUAAGACUUGGGUGUUCUUGGGGCCCUUGAAUAUAUGUCCUCUUCUCUCUCCUUCCAGGUGUAUG